UGGAAAACAGACCUUCACUGGAUUUGCAGCAAAGCAAAAAGCAGAUUGUGGCAAAAUGCUAUUACAGCUUCUGCUUUUGUCACUACUGUUGCCCUCAUCUGGAAAGUAAGGAAUAGCAUUCGAUUUGAAGGGACUGUUUUUGUGGAGGAACUUAUUUGCAGAGAAGUUGCAUUACUUAUACAUAUUCGAGGCAGGAAAUGCAAAUGUUGGCAGACUGGCUUGCGGCAGCUUAAUUGCUUUCCUUAGUUAUAGCCUUUAGAUAUCCCUAUACUGUAAUGACAUUUGUGUCUAGAUAGCUAUGAUAGUAUAGAUGAAAAUUUGUAAAU
RNAcentral lists this long non-coding RNA (326 nucleotides) under Nicotiana benthamiana. RNAcentral describes it as "long non-coding RNA (NBEN_LNC018898)". The record is from RNAcentral. Lineage: Eukaryota; Viridiplantae; Streptophyta; Magnoliopsida; Solanales; Solanaceae.